GACGAACGCUGGCGGCGUGCUUAACACAUGCAAGUCGAACGGAAAGGCCCUGUUUUUGGGGGGUGCUCGAGUGGCGAACGGGUGAGUAACACGUGAGUAACCUGCCCUUGACUAUGGGAUAACUUCAGGAAACUGGGGCUAAUACCGGAUAGGAGCUCCUACUGCAUGGUGGGGGUUGGAAAGGUUCGGCGGUUGGGGAUGGACUCGCGGCUUAUCAGCUUGUUGGUGGGGUAGUGGCUUACCAAGGCUUUGACGGGUAGCCGGCCUGAGAGGGUGACCGGCCACAUUGGGACUGAGAUACGGCCCAGACUCCUACGGGAGGCAGCAGUGGGGAAUAUUGCACAAUGGGCGGAAGCCUGAUGCAGCAACGCCGCGUGCUGGAUGACGGCCUUCGGGUUGUAAACCGCUUUCGCCUGUGACGAAGCGUGAGUGACGGUAAUGGGUAAAGAAGCACCGGCUAACUACGUG
RNAcentral lists this ribosomal RNA (468 nucleotides) under uncultured bacterium. RNAcentral describes it as "partial 16S ribosomal RNA". It matches the Rfam family "Bacterial small subunit ribosomal RNA", at positions 28 to 507 of the family's 1533-position model. The record is from RNAcentral.